GACGCGGCGGCGGCCUCUCGCNCCCCGCCCGUCUCAAAGAUAAUGACGGCGUUCUGUGAGGACUCCUGUACACUGAGCUUUUCGGGCACGUACUAGGCCAGCACUCCAGGCGCCGGUCGCCGUCCCUCUACGGGGACACUGUUUUACCACAAGGUUGACCUCGGAUCAGGUAGGAAUACCCGCUGAACUUAAGCAUAUCAAUAAGCGGAGGAAAAGAAACCAACAGGGAUUGCCUUAGUAACGGCGAGUGAAGCGGCAACAGCUCAAAUUUGAAAUCUGGCCUCUCUCGGGGUCCGAGUUGUAAUUUGGAGAGGAUGUUUCGGGUACGGCCCGGGCUUAAAUUUCUUGGAACAGAAUGUCACGGAGGGUGAGAAUCCCGUCUGGAGCCCGGGCACGGCCUAUGUGAAACUCCUUCGACGAGUCGAGUUGUUUGGGAAUGCAGCUCUAAAUGGGUGGUAAAUUUCAUCUAAAGCUAAAUAUUGGCCAGAGACCGAUAGCGCACAAGUAGAGUGAUCGAAAGAUGAAAAGCACUUUGAAAAGAGAGUUAAACAGUACGUGAAAUUGUUGAAAGGGAAGCGCUGGCAACCAGACUUGCGCGUCGGGGUUCCCCCUUGCUUCUGCUUGGGCUACUCCCCGGCGCUCAGGCCAACAUCGGUUUCGGGGGUUGGUUAAAGGCCCUGGGAAU
RNAcentral lists this ribosomal RNA (685 nucleotides) under fungal sp. F416. RNAcentral describes it as "eukaryotic LSU rRNA". The stretch from base 156 to 685 matches the Rfam family "Eukaryotic large subunit ribosomal RNA", at positions 1 to 535 of the family's 3401-position model. The record is from RNAcentral. Lineage: Eukaryota; Fungi.